This 1419-nucleotide long non-coding RNA is filed under the name Homo sapiens (human). Its description in RNAcentral is "long non-coding RNA NONHSAT219972.1". Lineage: Eukaryota; Metazoa; Chordata; Mammalia; Primates; Hominidae. The record is from RNAcentral.
UCUGUACAGCUGGUGAAUGUCGGCAACUGACAUCACAAUGCUUCUGGGGGAUCGUCACAACCUAUUGAUAUUCACUCCAUCACAGGACUUGGAACAGUUUUGCUAGCAGAAAAUACGACUCUCUUCUAUGCUGUGGUAAAAUAGUACAACCACAAGGCCAGGAUCCAUAGAAUGUGACCAGCUGUUUCAGUGGUUUUCUGUUACUAUUUGUGAAGUCUUCAUUCUUGUCAUCUCUAGCAGAAGAGUGGUGCCAGUUGCCAGAGGUUUGAGGAAAAAGAAGUCAUGGGAGAAUUUACAUUUCAGAAAAUUCCAUUCAUUGACUUAAUUAUUUCUGGGAAUUCAGAAAAGACCACCAUGAUCCUUUAGCCGCGAAAACACUUGGGCCAGUUUUGGAAAUGCUAGAAUCCUGCAGGAGAAGCUUUUGAGAAAUUCAGUACUGUGCAGUGUUGUAACCCGAAUACUUUGCUGGAGAAAGGGUUACUGAGAGAUCAUAUUCACAAAUCAACGUGCAAUAGUGAAAAAAGAUGGCAACACUGAAGAACCUUACUGAAUAACCCAGUAUGGACCACGUAUUGUAAUAGGCACUUAAUUUCUCUCAAUCCUUUCGAUAUCUCCUUGAAAUAGGGGAUUACAGGGAAGGUCAUAUGAUAGCUGCUUAAUAAAAUUUGCUGAUCGAAUGAAGGAGCUAAUGAAUUCAAUAAAAUCAGGGAAGGCUUCUUGGAGGAGGAGCACCUUGCUCCAGUGGGCUGAGAAGACAUUCCAUGAGACCAGAGCAAGGAGAGGAGUGGCCUGGCAGCUGAAGCCAGAGACAGACUUGAACCUGGAGGAUCUUCACAUCAAACCUAGGAGAAAGGUACUAUUAUCAUCUCUAAGUUACAAAAAUGGGAACUGAGCCACCAAAUGGCUAAGUGGUUUGCCUAAGAACACAGCGCUGGGCAGACAGAGGAACCAGGGGACUUAGGCCUUGCCAAGGAGGUGACAGUUGGACUGGCCUGGAGGGACUGGCCUGGAAAGAACAGCUACAGUAUGGCCACAGGUGAGCCUGGUUCCGGGAUGGCCAAGGAGGCCCAUCUCACCAGACCUGGCCCUGAGAAACUUCACCAGCAAGGCUUUCAAAUCGGGUGCGUGAUUGCUACGACGUGAGUUCCCUUCCAGUAGGGCCUGCAGCUGCUCUGUCCUCCUGGAUGGAGAAUCUGACUCCAACUCAGCUUCCCAAACCACACACAAUUCCAAUAUUAAAUCCCCCCAGGUCACACAGCUGUGUUGUCUGGGUGGUGGCUGAACCAGGAUUCCAUCUCAGGUGUGUCUGAUGGCCAUCACGAUACCACUGUAAAGCUGAGCUCAUUGACUAACGCUUAGGAAGUGGAGGGCCUUACAUUCUAGAUUCCAACCUUCGCCUACAACAAAGGAAACUGCCGG